GCGCUGCUAUCAUGCAGUCGAGCGGACAGAUGGGAGCUUGCUCCCUGAUGUUAGCGGCGGACGGGUGAGUAACACGUGGGUAACCUGCCUGUAAGACUGGGAUAACUCCGGGAAACCGGGGCUAAUACCGGAUGGUUGUCUGAAUCGCAUGGUUCAGACAUAAAAGGUGGCUUCGGCUACCACUUACAGAUGGACCCGCGGCGCAUUAGCUAGUUGGUGAGGUAACGGCUCACCAAGGCGACGAUGCGUAGCCGACCUGAGAGGGUGAUCGGCCACACUGGGACUGAGACACGGCCCAGACUCCUACGGGAGGCAGCAGUAGGGAAUCUUCCGCAAUGGACGAAAGUCUGACGGAGCAACGCCGCGUGAGUGAUGAAGGUUUUCGGAUCGUAAAGCUCUGUUGUUAGGGAAGAACAAGUGCCGUUCAAAUAGGGCGGCACCUUGACGGUACCUAACCAGAAAGCCACGGCUAACUACGUGCCAGCAGCCGCGGUAAUACGUAGGUGGCAAGCGUUGUCCGGAAUUAUUGGGCGUAAAGGGCUCGCAGGCGGUUUCUUAAGUCUGAUGUGAAAGCCCCCGGCUCAACCGGGGAGGGUCAUUGGAAACUGGGGAACUUGAGUGCAGAAGAGGAGAGUGGAAUUCCACGUGUAGCGGUGAAAUGCGUAGAGAUGUGGAGGAACACCAGUGGCGAAGGCGACUCUCUGGUCUGUAACUGACGCUGAGGAGCGAAAGCGUGGGGAGCGAACAGGAUUAGAUACCCUGGUAGUCCACGCCGUAAACGAUGAGUGCUAAGUGUUAGGGGGUUUCCGCCCCUUAGUGCUGCAGCUAACGCAUUAAGCACUCCGCCUGG
This 850-nucleotide ribosomal RNA is filed under the name uncultured bacterium. RNAcentral's name for it is "bacterial SSU rRNA". It matches the Rfam family "Bacterial small subunit ribosomal RNA", at positions 44 to 876 of the family's 1533-position model. The record is from RNAcentral.